Molecule: ribosomal RNA, 314 nt
Filed under: uncultured bacterium
Lineage: Bacteria
Description: bacterial SSU rRNA
Rfam family: Bacterial small subunit ribosomal RNA
Source: RNAcentral
GGUGAAUGCUAGCUACAGGCUUAACACAUGCAAGUCGAGGGGCAGCAUGGGCUUAGCUUGCUAAGCCCGAUGGCGGCCGGCGCGCGGGUGAGUAACACGUAUCCAACCCUCCGGCAACUCCGGUAUAGCCUUUCGAAAGAAAGAUUAAUCCCGGAUAGUAUGGUGAUUCCGCAUGGUUUCUCCAUUAAAGGAUUCCGGUUACCGAUGGGGAUGCGUUCCACUAGGCAGUUGGCGGGGUAACGGCCCACCAAACCUACGAUGGAUAGGGGUUCUGAGAGGAAGGUCCCCCACAUUGGAACUGAGACACGGUCCAA